GCCGCAGUGCCAGAGCGGUCGAAUGGCACGGUCUCGAAAUCCGUUGGUCCCUUCACUGGGCACGGGGGUUCGAAUCCCUCCUGCGGCG
This 88-nucleotide transfer RNA is filed under the name Candidatus Bariatricus faecipullorum. Its description in RNAcentral is "tRNA-Ser". It matches the Rfam family "tRNA". Rfam says of the family: Transfer RNA (tRNA) molecules are approximately 80 nucleotides in length. The record is from RNAcentral. Lineage: Bacteria; Bacillati; Bacillota; Clostridia; Lachnospirales; Lachnospiraceae.